CCUACGGGUGGCAGCAGUGAGGAAUAUUGGUCAAUGGACGAGAGUCUGAACCAGCCAAGUAGCGUGAAGGAUGACUGCCCUAUGGGUUGUAAACUUCUUUUAUAUGGGAAUAAAACGUUCCACGUGUGGGAUUUUGUAUGUACCAUAUGAAUAAGGAUCGGCUAACUCCGUGCCAGCAGCCGCGGUAAUACGGAGGAUCCGAGCGUUAUCCGGAUUUAUUGGGUUUAAAGGGAGCGUAGGUGGAUUGUUAAGUCAGUUGUGAAAGUUUGCGGCUCAACCGUAAAAUUGCAGUUGAAACUGGCAGUCUUGAGUACAGUAGAGGUGGGCGGAAUUCGUGGUGUAGCGGUGAAAUGCUUAGAUAUCACGAAGAACACCGAUUGCGAAGGCAGUUCACUGGACUGCAACUGACACUGAGGCUCGAAAGUGUGGGUAUCAAACAGGAUUAGAUACCCCUGUAGUC
RNAcentral lists this ribosomal RNA (460 nucleotides) under uncultured bacterium. Its description in RNAcentral is "partial 16S ribosomal RNA". It matches the Rfam family "Bacterial small subunit ribosomal RNA", at positions 338 to 795 of the family's 1533-position model. The record is from RNAcentral.